Molecule: ribosomal RNA, 356 nt
Filed under: uncultured Glomeraceae
Lineage: Eukaryota; Fungi; Glomeromycota; Glomeromycetes; Glomerales; Glomeraceae
Description: SSU rRNA
Rfam family: Eukaryotic small subunit ribosomal RNA
Source: RNAcentral
AGCAGCCGCGGUAAUUCCAGCUCCAAUAGCGUAUAUUAAAGUUGUUGCAGUUAAAAAGCUCGUAGUUGAAUUUCGGGAUUAGUAGUCUGGUCGUGCCACUGGUAUGUACUGGUCUUACUGAUUUCUCCUUCCUGAAGAACUGUAAUGUCAUUAAUUUGGUGUUGCGGGGAAUCUGGACUGUUACCUUGAAAAAAUUAGAGUGUUUAAAGCAGGCUAACGCUUGAAUACAUUAGCAUGGAAUAAUGAAAUAGGACGUUCGAUCUUAUUUUGUUGGUUUCUAGGAUUGACGUAAUGAUUAAUAGGGAUAGUUGGGGGCAUUAGUAUUCAAUUGUCAGAGGUGAAAUUCUUGGAUUUAU